AGAUGUGAUCAUACCAACACAAAUGCACCGAAUCCCAUCAGAACUUCGUUGUUAAGCGUGCUUGGUUCUUUUUAUUUGUACUAGGAAUUAUGGUUGGAACGGAUUUCAAUUA
Molecule: ribosomal RNA, 112 nt
Filed under: Cicer arietinum (chickpea)
Lineage: Eukaryota; Viridiplantae; Streptophyta; Magnoliopsida; Fabales; Fabaceae
Source: RNAcentral